This is a regulatory RNA element of Sodalis glossinidius str. 'morsitans', 104 nucleotides long. It matches the Rfam family "Tryptophan operon leader". From Rfam's summary of the family: At least 6 amino acid operons are known to be regulated by attenuation. Lineage: Bacteria; Pseudomonadati; Pseudomonadota; Gammaproteobacteria; Enterobacterales; Bruguierivoracaceae. The record is from Rfam.
CUUCGCUGGUGGCGCCCCCCUUUAGCGGGUGGUGAAAUCAUGCGUCGCUGUCAUCAGACAGAGCACGAUCCCAAAUAGCCCGCUGCGUUAGCGGGUUUUUUAUG